This is a non-coding RNA of Caerostris darwini, 102 nucleotides long. The record is from the annotation of a GenBank genome assembly. NCBI's taxonomy places the organism in Eukaryota, Metazoa, Arthropoda, Arachnida, Araneae, Araneidae.
AACGGCCAUACCAUCCUGAAUAUACCGGUUCUCGUUAGAUCACCGAAGUCAAGCGCUGUCAGUACUUGGGUGGGUGACCACCUGGGAACACCGCGUGCCGUU